Molecule: ribosomal RNA, 876 nt
Filed under: Bjerkandera sp.
Lineage: Eukaryota; Fungi; Basidiomycota; Agaricomycetes; Polyporales; Phanerochaetaceae
Description: partial large subunit ribosomal RNA
Rfam family: Eukaryotic large subunit ribosomal RNA
Source: RNAcentral
GGAUUCCCUAGUAACUGCGAGUGAAGCGGGAAAAGCUCAAAUUUAAAAUCUGGCGGUCUUCGGCCGUCCGAGUUGUAAUCUGGAGAAGCGUUUUCCGCGCUGGACCGUGUACAAGUCUCUUGGAACAGAGCGUCAUAGAGGGUGAGAAUCCCGUCUUUGACACGGACUACCAGUGCUAUGUGAUGCGCUCUCGAUGAGUCGAGUUGUUUGGGAAUGCAGCUCAAAAUGGGUGGUAAAUUCCAUCUAAAGCUAAAUAUUGGCGAGAGACCGAUAGCGAACAAGUACCGUGAGGGAAAGAUGAAAAGCACUUUGGAAAGAGAGUUAAACAGUACGUGAAAUUGCUGAAAGGGAAACGAUUGAAGUCAGUCGCGUGUGCUAGAACUCAGCCUUGCUUUUGCUUGGUGCAUUUUCUAGUGUACGGGCCAGCAUCAGUUUUGGCCGCCGGAAAAAGGCCUUGGGAAUGUGGCACCUUCGGGUGUGUUAUAGCCCUUGGUUGUAUACGGUGGCUGGGACUGAGGAACAUAGCAUGCCUUUACGGCGGGGCUUCGGCCACCUUCAUGCUUUGGAUGCUGGCGUAAUGGCUUUAAACGACCCGUCUUGAAACACGGACCAAGGAGUCUAACAUGCCUGCGAGUGUUUGGGUGGAAAACCCGAGCGCGUAAUGAAAGUGAAAGUUGGGACUUCUGUCGUGGAAGGCACCGACGCCCGGACCAGACCUUCUGUGACGGAUCCGCGGUAGAGCAUGUAUGUUGGGACCCGAAAGAUGGUGAACUAUGCCUGAAUAGGGUGAAGCCAGAGGAAACUCUGGUGGAGGCUCGUAGCGAUUCUGACGUGCAAAUCGAUCGUCAAAUUUGGGUAUAGGGGCGAAAGACUAAU